CACACUGCAUACACUAACACAACACACACACUGCAUACACUAACACACAACACACACACUGCAUACACUAACAACACACACACUGCAUACACUAACACAACACACACUACAUACACUAACACAACACACACACACUGCAUACACUAACACAACACACAUUGCAUACACUAACACAACACACACACACGCUGCAUCCACUAACACAAC
Non-coding RNA from Pelobates cultripes (western spadefoot toad), 207 nucleotides. Lineage: Eukaryota; Metazoa; Chordata; Amphibia; Anura; Pelobatidae. The record is from the annotation of a GenBank genome assembly.